AGAGCGAACGCUGGCGGCAGGCCUAACACAUGCAAGUCGAGCGCCCAGCAAUGGGAGCGGCAGACGGGAUAGUAACACGUGGGAACGUACCCUUCAGUUCGGAACAACCAAGGGAAACUUUGGCUAAUACCGAAUACGUCCGUAAGGAGAAAGAUUUAUCGCUGAAGGAUCGGCCCGCGUCUGAUUAGCUAGUUGGUGAGGUAAUGGCUCACCAAGGCGACGAUCAGUAGCUGGUCUGAGAGGAUGAUCAGCAUCACUGGGACUGAGACACGGCCCAGACUCCUACGGGAGGCAGCAGUGGGGAAUAUUGGACAAUGGGCGCAAGCCUGAUCCAGCCAUGCCGCGUGGAUGAUGAAGGCCUUAGGGUUGUAAAGUCCUUUCGACGGGGAAGAUAAUGACGGUACCCGUAGAAGAAGCCCGGCUAACUCGUGCCAGCAGCCGC
This 442-nucleotide ribosomal RNA is filed under the name uncultured bacterium. RNAcentral describes it as "SSU rRNA". It matches the Rfam family "Bacterial small subunit ribosomal RNA", at positions 26 to 518 of the family's 1533-position model. The record is from RNAcentral.